AGGUACCUACCUACCGUGUUUACACUUGUGUUUGUUGGAUGAUAGAUAAAUGCACCAUGAAAGUUCAACAUUUCACCAACCUCAAGAUCACAUUAUUGUGCUCAUUUUUUGUUAAUUUUCUGCAUUGUGUCGCUAAUAGCGAUCAAAACCAUAUAGAAAAUUCGCCCGAACCCAGAGCACCAUCCGGUACACCUAUGUCAUUCAUACCUUACUACGACUCGAAUCCUAGCAACUCCUACAUCCAACCUUUCCCAGAUCACGAUACGUUCGCCGAAAAAUCACCCUCAAAUGACCGAAAAUCAGACGAACUGCAUUACGAGCCUUGCUCCUUUGUGCCAUCCAGAACGUCCGGCCUGCAAAGAUGGAAAAAUUUCAGCCUAACGCGUGGCCUGCACGAAUGCGAAAACAUCUGCCAAAUUCUCUAUGGUGGAUUAAAAUUCGCCGUUUGUUUACCAGUGUGGAAUUGUCGUUGCCUCACCAAAGGAUUAUUUCAACUGAAAAAUUGGUGGCGAGAUGUCAAAGAGGAUCCUACCACAACACCAUUGGCGAUCGCUUACCAGGUUUCAAAGGCUUCGAUGCGGCGGCGGAGGAGGUAGUAAAAAUCACCUUUAGUGUGACCCGGUUUUGGGAUAGGCUAUAGGAGUAUUUUUUUUGAAAUCGUUUAAUCGCUUUAAUGCGAUUCUGAACGCGAAAUUACACACAUCGAAUAUGUAUGUACAUUUGAUACCUACUCUUUCUGCGUUUAAAAUGUAUGCUAUACUUUUAAUAUAUUCUUUUGAAAUGUA
Long non-coding RNA from Planococcus citri (citrus mealybug), 785 nucleotides. RefSeq lists it as uncharacterized. The record is from RefSeq and is a predicted model, not a curated record. Lineage: Eukaryota; Metazoa; Arthropoda; Insecta; Hemiptera; Pseudococcidae. The transcript has 2 exons.